This 497-nucleotide ribosomal RNA is filed under the name uncultured bacterium. RNAcentral's name for it is "partial 16S ribosomal RNA". It matches the Rfam family "Bacterial small subunit ribosomal RNA", at positions 28 to 507 of the family's 1533-position model. The record is from RNAcentral.
GAUGAACGCUGGCGGCGUGCCUAAUACAUGCAAGUCGAACGAACAGACGAUGAGCUUGCUCCGCUCACGUUAGCCGCGGACGUGAGAAAAACACGUGUAAAACCUACCUAUAAUACUGGUAUCACUACGGGAAACCGGAUCUAAUAGCGUAUAAGAUAUUGCAGCGUAUUGUUGAAUGGUGAAAGUCGGUGUUGCGGUCAGUUAUAGCUGGAUCCGCGCCGCAUUAGCUAGUUGGUAAGGUAACGGCUUACGAAGGCAACGAUGCGUAACCGACCUGAGAGGGUGAUCGGCGACACUGGAACUGGGACGGCGACAAGAGUACUGCGAGACGCCGCAGUAGGCAAUCUUCCGCAAUGGGCGAAAGCCUGGCGGAGCAACGGCGCGUGAGAGACAGAGGUCUUCGGAGCGUAAUGCUCUGCUAUUAGGGAAGAACCAAUGUGUACGUAGCUGUGGAGGGCGUGACGGUAACUAAUCAGGAAGCCACGGCUAACUACGUG